AACCCAAUUCAACAACCGCCGUCGUGGCCAUCUUUUGCUCCAACCAAAGCAGUUUUGUUUUCUCUUACAUUCAGAAGCUGCAAAUCAAACGAACAAGUGGAAACCUGAUCAAUCCUCUCACGAUUUGCUCUAAUUCAUCUCAAGUGUUUAUGUUUACUUGUAUAUAUGGGCGAGUAAUAAGAGAUUAAGAAACAGUAUACUAGAAUCUCUAACUGAAGGCGAAUAUCUCCGAAAAUAAGAUUGCGAUGGGAGCAUCGCGGGCACAAAAGCUAUCCGGUAUUCAAAAGCAAGUUCUCUCAUUAUACAGAGGAUUUCUUAGAACCGCGCGUUCCAAAACUCCUGAAAACCGGGUCCACAUUGAAUCACUCGUAUCAGCCGAGUUUCGUAGAAAUGCGCAAUCGAUUGAUCGCAAGAAUUUCUUACAUAUCGAGUAUUUGCUUCGUCGUGGUAAGAAACAACUUGAUCAACUCAAAACCGUUGAUUCUGUUCGGUUAUCUUCAUCAAAUGUAGAAAUUUCUGAUACUCAAAAACAAUAAUCUGGUUGAUUCUGUUAGGUUAUAUGAUUUCGUCUAACGUUUGAUCAUAUUCGGCUGUUGUUUAAUGGAGGUUUGAUUAUCUCCUAUAAUAAGUUUAGAGAAAGCGUACCCUUGUGAUUAUUGAGCUGUUUUAUUUGGGGUUAAAUAUGUAACUUUUUUUAAUUCAAAACAUGAAGUUAUUU
Molecule: long non-coding RNA, 718 nt
Filed under: Helianthus annuus (common sunflower)
Lineage: Eukaryota; Viridiplantae; Streptophyta; Magnoliopsida; Asterales; Asteraceae
Source: RNAcentral